This 301-nucleotide ribosomal RNA is filed under the name uncultured bacterium. RNAcentral's name for it is "partial 16S ribosomal RNA". It matches the Rfam family "Bacterial small subunit ribosomal RNA", at positions 509 to 807 of the family's 1533-position model. The record is from RNAcentral.
CAGUAGCCGCGGGAAUACGUAGGUGGCAAGCGUUGUCCGGAUUUAUUGGGCGUAAAGCGAGCGCAGGCGGUUUCUUAAGUCUGAUGUGAAAGCCCCCGGCUCAACCGGGGAGGGUCAUUGGAAACUGGGAAACUUGAGUGCAGAAGAGGAGAGUGGAAUUCCAUGUGUAGCGGUGAAAUGCGUAGAUAUAUGGAGGAACACCAGUGGCGAAGGCGGCUCUCUGGUCUGUAACUGACGCUGAGGCUCGAAAGCGUGGGGAGCAAACAGGAUUAGAUACCCGUGUAGUCCCUGUCUCUUAUAC